Molecule: long non-coding RNA, 1290 nt
Filed under: Anser brachyrhynchus (Pink-footed goose)
Lineage: Eukaryota; Metazoa; Chordata; Aves; Anseriformes; Anatidae
Description: lncRNA (ENSABRG00000009873.1)
Source: RNAcentral
CUCCAUGGACAGGGAUGCUACUCACGUCUGGGAUUGCCCCAACCCAGGUACAGUACCUUGCACUUGUUGAAAUUUAUUAGGUCUGCAUGGGACCACUUUUCUAGUUUGUCCAGGUCCCUUUGGAUGACACUGCUUCCUUCUCUUACGUCAACUGUACCACUCAGCUUAGCACUGUCUGCAAACUUUAUGAGGGAGCAUUCCGUCCCAUUGUUUAUGUCACUGAUAAAGAUAUUAAACAGCACCAGUCCCAAGAUGGACUCCUGAGGGACUCAUCACCAGCCUCCACUUAGACACAGAGCCGUUGAUUGCAACUCUCUGGAUGCAGCUGUCCAGCCAAUUCUUUAUCCACCAAAUAGUCCACCCUUCAAAUCCAUAUAUCUCCUAUUUAGCGAUAAGGGUGUUGCAUGGGACUGUGUCAAAGGCUUUACAGAAAUCUAGGUAGAUGACAGUGGUCAGUCUUCCCUUGAAGUAUAUAUGAACAAACACAUGCAAACAGAGAUAAAUAUCACUUGUAUUAAAAAAUCCAGAAUCAUUCUGAAGUUUUACUCAUAUAGUUUAAAGAAAAGCCAGUGAAAUGAUAUGGAUGGAUGUUCCCUGAGACCUAAGGAAGAAGUGUCUCAACCAAUCAGCAAUAAUGCAAAGUAUCCCUGGCUUUUAGAAAGGAAUGCUACAGUGACACCAGUGGAUAUCAGUGAGCAUACUGCCAAUAUAAAUAUUGAAACUGAUAAAAAAAUCAUUUGUGGUCAUAAAAUACACUGCAUAAUGCAACACAGUAUGGGAUAACCCCAAACUAGCUUUCGGUAAGUUUGAACCUCUAUUUGAAGUGGCAGACUGUCAAGCAGAGAGAUACUAGCUUAGAUUCUGGAACAGCAUUGAAGUGUCAGUCUUAUACAGCAUCAUAAGAAAUUAUCUCAAAGGUAGGAGGAAUUAGUUUGACGCAGCUCUGCUGAAAUGACUAUACUGGUUAUAGGUCUACAGCUAAUUCUGUCUGUGAUAAAUUGGGAAAUCUCUGCACUACUCUUGAAGUACAGUCAUAAGGAUUUAUGCUAAGGCCAGCACACACCAGAAAAAAAAUUAUUUGAAAUAUUUAGACAUUGCAAUAAUUAGACUACUACUUCAGAAUCCAGCAAAAAUUUAUAAUUAUUAAUACUGUAUCAAUUGGUAAUGUUACUAGUAUCAUCUGGUGGCAAGAGAAAAAAAAUACGGAAAAAAAAAAGAUAAACUGCAUUUUUUGAUCUCUUGGUAAUACUUAAGAUUAGAAGGAAUAAACUAAUCACAUAAUUAUUCUCA